UUAACGACUCUCGACAACGGAUAUCCCGGCUCUCGCAUCGAUGAAGAACGUAGCGAAAUGCGAUACUUGGUGUGAAUUGCAGAAUCCCGUGAACCAUCGAGUCUUUGAACGCAAGUUGCGCCCGAAGCCACUAGGCUGAGGGCACGUCUGCCUGGGUGUCACGCA
RNAcentral lists this ribosomal RNA (165 nucleotides) under Cyclospermum leptophyllum. Its description in RNAcentral is "5.8S ribosomal RNA". It matches the Rfam family "5.8S ribosomal RNA". From Rfam's summary of the family: 5.8S ribosomal RNA (5.8S rRNA) is a component of the large subunit of the eukaryotic ribosome. Lineage: Eukaryota; Viridiplantae; Streptophyta; Magnoliopsida; Apiales; Apiaceae. The record is from RNAcentral.